RNAcentral lists this unclassified non-coding RNA (519 nucleotides) under uncultured Glomus. Its description in RNAcentral is "SSU rRNA". It matches the Rfam family "Eukaryotic small subunit ribosomal RNA", at positions 569 to 1088 of the family's 1831-position model. The record is from RNAcentral. Lineage: Eukaryota; Fungi; Glomeromycota; Glomeromycetes; Glomerales; Glomeraceae.
AGCAGCCGCGGUAAUUCCAGCUCCAAUAGCGUAUAUUAAAGUUGUUGCAGUUAAAAGCUCGUAGUUGAAUUUCGGGGUUAGUAGGUUGGUCAUGCCUCUGGUAUGUACUGGUCUCACUGAUUCCUCCUUCCUGAUGAGCCGUAAUGCCAUUAAUUUGGUGUUGCGGGGAAUUUGGACUGUUACUUUGAAAAAUUGAGUGUUUAAAGCAAGCUAACGCUUGAAUACAUUAGCAUGGAAUAAUGAAAUAGGACGUUUGAUCCUAUUUUGUUGGUUUCUAGGAUCGACGUAAUGAUUAAUAGGGAUAGUUGGGGGCAUUAGUAUUCAAUUGUCAGAGGUGAAAUUCUUGGAUUUAUUGAAGACUAACUACUGCGAAAGCAUCUGCCAAGGAUGUUUUCAUUAAUCAAGAACGAAAGUUAGGGAUCGAAGACGAUCAGAUACCGUCGUAGUCUUAACCAUAAACUAUAGCCGACUAGGGAUCGAAUGAUUGUUUAAUUUUUUAAUGUACUCUAUUCGGUACCG